Molecule: ribosomal RNA, 444 nt
Filed under: uncultured bacterium
Lineage: Bacteria
Description: bacterial SSU rRNA
Rfam family: Bacterial small subunit ribosomal RNA
Source: RNAcentral
AAUAUUGCACAAUGGGCGCAAGCCUGAUGCAGCCAUGCCGCGUGUAUGAAGAAGGCCUUCGGGUUGUAAAGUACUUUCAGCAGUGAGGAAGGUGGGUAUGUUAAUAGCAUAUUCAUUUGACGUUAGCUGCAGAAGAAGCACCGGCUAACUCCGUGCCAGCAGCCGCGGUAAUACGGAGGGUGCGAGCGUUAAUCGGAAUUACUGGGCGUAAAGCGCAUGCAGGUGGUUUGUUAAGUCAGAUGUGAAAAGCCCCGGGGCUCAACCUCGGAAUUGCAUUUGAAAACUGGCAAACUAGAGUACUGUAGAGGGGGGUAGAAUUUCAGGUGUAGCGGUGAAAUGCGUAGAGAUCUGAAGGAAUACCGGUGGCGAAGGCGGCCCCCUGGACAGAUACUGACACUCAGAUGCGAAAGCGUGGGGAGCAAACAGGAUUAGAUACCCUGGUAG